CCUACGGGAGGCAGCAGUGAGGAAUAUUGGUCAAUGGCCGGAAGGCUGAACCAGCCAAGCCGCGUGAAGGAAGAAGGUGCCAAGCAUUGUAAACUUCUUUUGUCAAGGGACAAAAUCAGGCUCGAGAGCCUGACCGAGGGUACUUGAAGAAAAAGCAUCGGCUAACUCCGUGCCAGCAGCCGCGGUAAUACGGAGGAUGCGAGCGUUAUCCGGAUUUAUUGGGUUUAAAGGGUGCGUAGGCGGGCUGUUAAGUCAGCGGUAAAAGUCCGGGGCUCAACCCCUGCGAGCCGUUGAAACUGGGUGUCUUGAGAUGUCGAGAGGUAUGCGGAAUGCGCAGUGUAGCGGUGAAAUGCUUAGAUAUUGCGCAGAACUCCGAUUGCGAAGGCAGCAUACCGGCGGCGAUCUGACGCUGAUGCACGAAAGCGUGGGUAUCGAACAGGAUUAGAUACCCUUGUAGUC
This 459-nucleotide ribosomal RNA is filed under the name uncultured bacterium. Its description in RNAcentral is "partial 16S ribosomal RNA". It matches the Rfam family "Bacterial small subunit ribosomal RNA", at positions 338 to 795 of the family's 1533-position model. The record is from RNAcentral.